RNAcentral lists this non-coding RNA (31 nucleotides) under Mus musculus (house mouse). The record is from RNAcentral. Lineage: Eukaryota; Metazoa; Chordata; Mammalia; Rodentia; Muridae.
UGCUUCCAAAUGGGUCCUCUCUAAGGAUGUA